This 495-nucleotide ribosomal RNA is filed under the name uncultured bacterium. RNAcentral's name for it is "partial 16S ribosomal RNA". It matches the Rfam family "Bacterial small subunit ribosomal RNA", at positions 28 to 507 of the family's 1533-position model. The record is from RNAcentral.
GACGAACGCUGGCGGCGUGCCUAAUACAUGCAAGUAGAACGCUGAAGGAGGAGCUUGCUUCUCUGGAUGAGUUGCGAACGGGUGAGUAACGCGUAGGUAACCUGCCUGGUAGCGGGGGAUAACUAUUGGAAACGAUAGCUAAUACCGCAUAAGAGUAGAUGUUGCAUGACAUUUGCUUAAAAGGUGCAAUUGCAUCACUACCAGAUGGACCUGCGUUGUAUUAGCUAGUUGGUGGGGUAACGGCUCACCAAGGCGACGAUACAUAGCCGACCGGCGAGGGUGGUCGGCCAGCCUGGGACGGAGACACGGCCCAGACGGCUACGGGUGGCAGCAGUAGGCAAUCGGCGGCAAGGGACGGAAGUCUGACCAAGAAACGCCGAGUGAGGGAAGAAGGAUGUCGGAUCGGAAAGCUCUGUUGUAAGGGUAGAAAGAGUGUGAGAGUGGAAAGUACACAGUGUGACGGUAUCUGACCAGAAAGGAACGGCUAACUACGUG